GCGCGCUUAGUUCAUCUGGAAGAACACACGGCUACGAACCGUGAGGUGGUGGGUUCGACUCCCGCAGUGCGUACCA
RNAcentral lists this transfer RNA (76 nucleotides) under compost metagenome. RNAcentral describes it as "tRNA-Arg". It matches the Rfam family "tRNA". Rfam says of the family: Transfer RNA (tRNA) molecules are approximately 80 nucleotides in length. Their secondary structure includes four short double-helical elements and three loops (D, anti-codon, and T loops). The record is from RNAcentral.